Takifugu rubripes (torafugu) is the source of this 88-nucleotide non-coding RNA. The record is from Rfam. Lineage: Eukaryota; Metazoa; Chordata; Actinopteri; Tetraodontiformes; Tetraodontidae.
CCUUCGAUAGCUCAGUUGGUAGAGCGGAGGACUGUAGCGGUGAUUCCCAGGCAUCCUUAGGUCGCUGGUUCAAAUCCGGCUCGAAGGA